Molecule: ribosomal RNA, 261 nt
Filed under: uncultured archaeon
Lineage: Archaea
Description: partial 16S ribosomal RNA
Rfam family: Archaeal small subunit ribosomal RNA
Source: RNAcentral
CAGCCGUAAACUAUGCUCGCUAGGUGUAUCGGUGACCACGAGUUACCGAGGUGCCGAAGGGAAACCGUGAAACGUGCCGCCUGGGAAGUACGGUCGCAAGGCUGAAACUUAAAGGAAUUGGCGGGGGAGCACCACAACAGGUGGAGCCUGCGGUUUAAUUGGACUCAACGCCGGGAAGCUCACCGGAUAGGACAGCAGAAUGAUUGCCGGGCUGAAGACCCUGCAUGACUAGCUGAGAGGAGGUGCAUGGCGUAGACGUCU